Molecule: long non-coding RNA, 2475 nt
Organism: Ruditapes philippinarum (Manila clam)
Lineage: Eukaryota; Metazoa; Mollusca; Bivalvia; Venerida; Veneridae
Exons: 2
Source: RefSeq, a predicted model, not a curated record
AAAAUCAACUACUGAGAAAAUGAUUUGAUUUAUUUUCACUUAUACCUAUAUCGUUUUUACAAUAAGUUCACUUAUCAAAAAACCUGGAAUAUGAUGAUGUUAUAGGUUGUCAGUCGUGUUUCUUUUUAAAUGACAAUACAUACUGUUGUUAUCAUCUUUCCUUUAGGUAUCAAAAAUAAUCACUGUUUAUGCUUGAUGAUUAUUUUGGAUCCUCUCGAAAUGUUCCGCACUUCAUAUGAAUGUAAACAUACAUUUAACGUGAUAAAUCACGUUGCUCUUAUUAAGUACAUCUGAUUUACCGGAUUGGCAAUGUAUCUUUUAUUAUUUCUUUUGAUAAAGCAUUAUCAGUCAAGUAUACUACUUCAUGAUUCAUUUUUAUCAUUUAACUUGUUUUGUUAUUUACUCACGUACAAUACAUUUACAUGUUCUAAUAUACUUGAAUGUACUUUGACACAAACCACAUACAUAAAUAAGUGGUGUUAUGUAUAUGAUUUGUAAUUACGUUACACUGGUAUAGAAUUACUAAUGAUAUCUGUCAUGUUUUGCUUGCCGAGUUACCGCCCAUGGGCAGGUACCCGAGGGACGGAUAUUCCGAUCCGAACCGCAAACACAUGGCAGAUGUUUUUUCUUGCAUAUCCAAUGGUAUUUUUAAAUUGUUUACCUUUAUUAAUAAAUGGUUCAUAUCAUUUAAAUGUCAUUUUCAUCCAUAACUAUUUUUAUAGUAGCGUAUGAAUUUACGCUACAUUCCAUUCAUUCAUUCAUUCCGCGCAAGAAUACAUGAAAAUUACGCAUGUCUACGGUAGUUACACAAGAAAAAAAACAACAACAAUGUUUGGUUAGCAUACGUAUAUAUUUUGAAUUCAUCAUAGUAAAUCAACGUGUUUACCAGUUUAUUCGAUAUAAAUUGCAAAUUUGAUAACUUUAUUUUAAUGUUUAAUGUAAAAUUCAUAAUUAACAAAAACGUAACAGAUGAGUUAAUUUCCAACGAAACAUGGGAAAGUCGGUCAUAUUGAAAGUGUCAACACAUGGAGAACACAGAUUUCAGAUGAUUUUCGUUUAUAUUCGCCUUUAUGGAAUUAUUUUGUGCAAUUUUUGUCUGUGUUUUGGAUAGUUAUGUUAAAAGUACCACCUGUAAUAGGGGCAUUUGCAAAUAAGCUCAAUGACGGAACAUUUUGAGCGAAAAAUAAGGUUUGGUUGUUCGAAACAUUUAAAGAAAUUUGAUUUCGACAUUCAACAACAGAAGAUGAACCGGACGACAACAUAUCUGAAAUUUGUUUUUGCUGCUGAUUGGAUAAAACCCUGUAAUUAUUGAGGGACUAUGGGUUUUUAUGGCCUGUAAUGAGUACAGCCUGUGUGUCCGGGACAUUAUUUUGAAGAAGUUUCUCACAAAGACGUUUUCGAACACUUGUGUUGGUCAGACGUUUGCCGUUCAAAAUUUCAGGAAGUUGAGCAUUGUUGGCCAUGACUUUCAUGAGAUCUUUCAAUUUGUUGACACCAAUUGGUGCCGACAAAAACCACUGCUCGUCUUCUUGCGGGAACUUCUUGUGGGUCACAACUGCCAAAUAGAAUGGGUGGUCAUCGCCUGGAAGUUGAAAUGAAAGGCACAAAAGUUAAAGGGGAUUUUCAGAAACUAGACAAAAUGAAAAAUUGAACAACUGGUAUACCUGUCUAAACUACUGAUCAUUCCUCUCAAAGUAGAGGGCUCAUUCUUGGAUCCAUCCUUCUGUCGAACAGACAACAAACUUUCAGACAGUUCAGCUCUUCAGGAGGAAUCAAAUGAAUAAGGCAACCUUCAUGUUUUGUUUCAAGAAACUCAUUCAUCAAUUUUAAGUGGGAUUUAGUUUUAUUUUCAGUGUUUUUGUUCUUUUGCAUUUGCCGGAACUCAUUUGGGGUAAAUUUACUGCUGCAAAGCGUUUAGACUCGGAUGAUUUCAUUGUGGUCUUGCCGUUUUAUCUUUGCUUAAAUUUACAGAUUUGUUGGGCACUUCUUGUGGAUCAUUACUGGUAGUUGUGUUAUUUGAAGAAAGACAUUCUUGCAAAACUAUUUCAUCAAAAUCUGCAUCAAAAUCUUCUGGUGAAAAACAGUUGAAUAGAUUUUGAAAAUGUUCAUCUGGAACACCUUUCACUAAUUCAUGCUUGGCAGCAACCUUAAUUUCACCAGAGUAGAAUGUAUGGACUUUGUACAUACAGUAUGUACCAAGAGGUUUGACAAUGUCAAUUAUCUUGCCUUUCUCACCAUUAUUACCUAUCUGUACAGUGUGUCCUACUUUAAAUUCAGAUUUGGAUGACAUUUUCUGUAAUCAUGAGAUCAAUUUAUAUAAAUAGUAUGGUGUAUGAACCUUUAAAGUUAUUUGCUUAUCUUUUUUGUUGUUUAAUUAACGCAACCGGAAGUGAGUGUAAUCAGAUGAUUUAAUAUGCCUUUUUAAUUAUUAAGAUGUUUAGAACUUUAACAAUCACUUGUAAUGAUUUAUUAUGG